Molecule: long non-coding RNA, 594 nt
Organism: Misgurnus anguillicaudatus (oriental weatherfish)
Lineage: Eukaryota; Metazoa; Chordata; Actinopteri; Cypriniformes; Cobitidae
Source: RefSeq, a predicted model, not a curated record
UAUUGAUUAUAUAUUUAUUUUUAAUUCUAAAUACAUAAUGAUUAUUAUAUGAGUAAUUUUGAUACAAUGCUGCAAUGAUUAUGCAUAACAGGUGGAGUGGGGUGGACGCAACCAAGAGGGAGCUGGUUUGACUGUUGGGGAGGAAGUGGAAGCAGUCAAUUCAUUUAUGUCUCGUGCUGCAUUGACAACAAAAUAUAUGACCAAAUCUGCACACACAGAUAUGAUCACUAUCCAUGUUCAUGGAUGGAACCUAAGGAAAAAGUUAAAUCUUCACAAUUAUCUUGCUCAAAGAUAUGUUAAGACAUUACAGAGAACAGCUGAGGUGGCAGGGGAGAUUAAGAUGACCAAAUCCCACCUGAACAAAACAAGUGAAGAUCUUCAGCAGUGAGUCACAGAUGUUCAACUGUGAGCAGCAUCAACUCCGAGUACCAUCAGUUCACAUGAUCCACAGGGGCUGCAGCGUCUAAUGGAAGGCUUGGUCCUCAAAAUCCACCAAAAGAAGUAAAGAGUUGUACAGAGAGACAGGUUUGUGAUUGAGUCAACCUUUUCAUUAAUAGCAUAAUUUGGAUGUAAAAGCUACGUUUUAGAUUUAUU